Molecule: non-coding RNA, 60 nt
Filed under: Synechococcus sp.
Lineage: Bacteria; Bacillati; Cyanobacteriota; Cyanophyceae; Synechococcales; Synechococcaceae
Also listed under: 1 other name
Description: Glutamine-II sequence
Rfam family: Glutamine-II riboswitch aptamer
About the family: The major groove of the PK provides the binding site for L-glutamine
Source: RNAcentral
GAACGUUGGGUCUCCCAGGGAGGCCGCAGUCAGACCCAGGCCAUGCAACGGGGGCCUGGG